CAGCCGCCACGGGAAUACGAAGGGGGCUAGCGUUGCUCGGAAUUACUGGGCGUAAAGGGAGCGUAGGCGGACAUUUAAGUCAGGGGUGAAAUCCCAGAGCUCAACUCUGGAACUGCCUUUGAUACUGGGUGUCUUGAGUGUGAUAGAGGUAUGUGGAACUCCGAGUGUAGAGGUGAAAUUCGUAGAUAUUCGGAAGAACACCAGUGGCGAAGGCGACAUACUGGAUCAUUACUGACGCUGAGGCUCGAAAGCGUGGGGAGCAAACAGGAUUAGAUACCCCCGUAGUCCCUGUCUCUUAUAC
Molecule: ribosomal RNA, 301 nt
Filed under: uncultured bacterium
Lineage: Bacteria
Description: partial 16S ribosomal RNA
Rfam family: Bacterial small subunit ribosomal RNA
Source: RNAcentral